AUUGAACGCUGGCGGCAUGCUUUACGCAUGCAAGUCGAACGGCAGCGCGGGCUUCGGCCUGGCGGCGAGUGGCGAACGGGUGAGUAAUGCAUCGGAACGUGCCCAGUAGUGGGGGAUAGCCCGGCGAAAGCCGGAUUAAUACCGCAUACGACCUGAGGGUGAAAGCGGGGGACCGAAAGGCCUCGCGCUAUUGGAGCGGCCGAUGUCGGAUUAGCUAGUUGGUGGGGUAAAGGCUUACCAAGGCGACGAUCCGUAGCUGGUCUGAGAGGGCGACCAGCCACACUGGGACUGAGACACGGCCCAGACUCCUACGGGAGGCAGCAGUGGGGAAUUUUGGACAAUGGGGGCAACCUUGAUCCAGCCAUGCCGCGUGCGGGAAGAAGGCCUUCGGGUUGUAAACCGCUUUUGUUCGGGAAGAAAUCCUCUGGGCUAAUACCCCGGGGGGAUGACGGUACCGGAAGAAUAAGCACCGGCUAACUACGUG
RNAcentral lists this ribosomal RNA (484 nucleotides) under uncultured bacterium. RNAcentral's name for it is "partial 16S ribosomal RNA". It matches the Rfam family "Bacterial small subunit ribosomal RNA", at positions 28 to 507 of the family's 1533-position model. The record is from RNAcentral.